This 319-nucleotide long non-coding RNA is filed under the name Equus caballus (horse). RNAcentral describes it as "lncRNA (ENSECAG00000057470.1)". Lineage: Eukaryota; Metazoa; Chordata; Mammalia; Perissodactyla; Equidae. The record is from RNAcentral.
CAGUUUCUGAAGAUGCUGCAGAAAUCAAUUAGAAUGAGAAAUGAAUUCAUCUGUUCUGCCCACGUGAAGGAGAGACUGACACUGAGAACACGAGAAAUAAAGAGCCACAGCUUCCUGUAUGAGUGACAAAUGGGACAAGUGUUUGGAGAUGGCUUCUGCACUCAGCUGGCUGAGAACAUAUAGAAGAACUGUUUCUGGUGUCAGGAAUUCUGAGCCUUGUUUCCUCCUGGCCGAGGUCCAGAGACUUGUGAGCAAGUAGACCGAAGAAACCCUUUCCCAACACAGUGCUACUCAGAGGGAGCUAGCAAAGUGGUGGAAG